UACGUAGGGUGCGAGCGUUAAUCGGAAUUACUGGGCGUAAAGCGUGCGCAGGCGGUUUGUUAAGUCCGCUGUGAAAGCCCCGGGCUCAACCUGGGAAUGGCGGUGGAAACUGGCGAGCUAGAGUGUGGCAGAGGGGGGUGGAAUUCCACGUGUAGCAGUGAAAUGCGUAGAGAUGUGGAGGAACACCGAUGGCGAAGGCAGCCCCCUGGGCUAACACUGACGCUCAGGCACGAAAGCGUGGGGAGCGAACAGG
Molecule: ribosomal RNA, 253 nt
Filed under: uncultured bacterium
Lineage: Bacteria
Description: partial 16S ribosomal RNA
Rfam family: Bacterial small subunit ribosomal RNA
Source: RNAcentral